UCCCACGUUCGGAUCGCAGGCUGCAACCCGCCUGCGUGAAGUUGGAAUCGCUAGUAAUCGCGGAUCAGCAUGCCGCGGUGAAUACGUUCCCGGGCCUUGUACACACCGCCCGUCAAGCCAUGGGAGCCGGGGGUACCUGAAGUGCGUAACCGCGAGGAUCGCCCUAGGGUAAAACUGGUGACUGGGGCUAAGUCGUAACAAGGUAAC
RNAcentral lists this ribosomal RNA (207 nucleotides) under uncultured bacterium. Its description in RNAcentral is "partial 16S ribosomal RNA". It matches the Rfam family "Bacterial small subunit ribosomal RNA", at positions 1285 to 1500 of the family's 1533-position model. The record is from RNAcentral.